AAUUGACCAUUCUUUUAAUCGAGAUUUUCGUCCGUUCGGGUAACAAUUGAGACAGGUGGUGCAUGGUUGUCGUCAGCUCGUGUCGUGAGAUGUUGGGUUAAGUCCCGCAACGAGCGCAACCCUUGUGUUUAGUUGCAAACAGGUCAAGCUGUGCACUCUAGACAGACUGCCGUGGACAACACGGAGGAAGGUGGGGAUGACGUCAAAUCAUCAUGCCCCUUAUGAUCUGGGCUACACACGUGCUACAAUGGCCGGUACAACGGGCAGCGAAGGAGCGAUCCGGAGCGAAUCCUAAAAAGCCGGUCCCAGUUCGGAUUGCAGGCUGAAACUCGCCUACAUGAAGUUGGAGUUGCUAGUAAUCGCGAAUCAGAAUGUCGCGGUGAAUGCGUUCCCGGGUCUU
This 400-nucleotide ribosomal RNA is filed under the name uncultured Fusibacter sp. Its description in RNAcentral is "bacterial SSU rRNA". It matches the Rfam family "Bacterial small subunit ribosomal RNA", at positions 978 to 1382 of the family's 1533-position model. Lineage: Bacteria; Bacillati; Bacillota; Clostridia; Eubacteriales; Fusibacteraceae. The record is from RNAcentral.